CACUACCUGCCAGUGUGUACCAGGAACAGACUGUGGACAUUGGCUGAGCACACCUGGUGCCAAUCAGUUGAUUACACAGGACUGAAUCUGGGGCAAUGACAGCAAACAAAACAGACAAUCAACGGCAGACAGAGAGGCAGCGCGGCGAGCCGCAGGGCGCGCGGCGGUGCGAGUCGCAAUGGCGAGCCGCGGACAGACAGGCAGUGCGGCGGCAGAAGCAGCGGUGAACGGCAGCACGAUAGACAACAGGGCAGAAGCGACGGUGAAUGGCGCCACCAGGAGCUGGGUCUUUAAAAUAGCUGCCGUCUUGUAGCAGUUCCUCCUUAAGGUCAGAGAUUGCAGCAUCUGAGCUCCUCUUCAAAAGAAGACGUAGUUGAUGAAGGCGUUCUGGACCAGAAAGACCACGACCAAGCAGCCUUGAGAUCUUAGGCAGCAUCUCCCUCAGGUGGGUGUCAACGGUGCUCACAUUCAGGUCUGUGGUAAUCCUGUCAAAAAACAAAACAGAAAAAAAAUCUAGAUUAUAAAUCACAUGUAACCAAAGUACUCUGUGUAUAAUGCCAUAGUAUAGGACGUAGUUUAGAAAAUGUCAAAUUAUAGUAUACUUUUCGAGAAUAACAUAGUAUGGCCUGUACAGUAGUUCCUAGUAUAGCAUGUCGGCAGAAAAACCCCAUAGAUUAUAUGGUUCAAAAAGUGCAAAAUGAUAGGAUGUUGCCUAAAAUUGUCAUCUAUGAUAUGUGGUUCAAAAAUGUCAUAGUGCAGUAUAUUGUCAAAAUAGUAUGUUAUUCAAGAAAACAGAGUAUAAUAUGUGGUCUAAAAAAUGCCAUAGAAUAAUAGUUCAUCGUAAAAGUAUAGUAAUUUUUAGAACUGUUCAAAUUCUUAUGUUGCUAAAACACAACAGAAAAACUAAAACAAAACGUUGUAUUAUGUCAACUCAAAAAAGCCUAUAGCAGGGGUCGGCAAGUAGAUGUGGCUUCGGGCCAAAAUGUUUGUAAACAAUCGAACAGCGGGCCAACCUGCGGUGGGGUUGCGCUCCGAUUCCACGAGCGGGGUUGGGGGGGUACCGCGAGCAGCGGAGCUUCUACAGCUGAUCGCCACUGCUUGGGACACGUCUCAAUUCUGAUCACAGAUGUAUUAAAAAUGACUCCCGAGACACAUGUUUUGCACACACUGUUGCCCAGUGAAAUCUGGCUGGUACAGCCGUGUCCGAUCAGUAGCGCAAAGGCGGAAAUGCCCGGCAGCAGCCAACCAUGCGAGUUGCGUGUUGCGGUGACGGACUGGCUUGGCUCAAAAUCAUCUGGCGGGCCAGAUGUUAUUCCUGACGUACCAGUUUUGGCCCGCGGGCCGCCAGUUGCCGACCACUGGCCUAUAGUAUAGCAUUUCAUUCUAAAAACAUCAUAGUUUAGCCUUUGGUCCACAAAAUGUUAUGUCCUGGCUGUCUGAAGUAGGUGAGGAGCAACACAAACAGUCCAAACACUGGUUUCCAGAGGGUUAGACAGUCAAAUACUGAAAUAACAAGAAAAACUCAGUCUAUUGAUUUAGGCAUAAGCUAUAUUUUAUCAGGAUUGUCAAGCUUAGGUAUCUUAAAAUAACAAAUUUUCACUCAAAAAUAGAUUUCUGCUGUCAUGUAACCACCUAAUUUGAGAUGUUUCAACCCUGCUGUUGUCCGCAUUUAUGGGCACCAAAAAUAUUGUUUCCAUAUCUGAAAAAAAUCCAAAAAUCAGCAAAAAAAUUCCCCAAAUUUCGGAAAAUUUGCAAAACCUUCAGGAAGAAAAUUCCAAUAGCACUUUCGCCUUGCAGCAAAAAGAUCCCUGGUUCAAAUCCCGGCCUGGGAUCUUUCUGCAUGGAGUUUGCAUGUUCUCCCUGUGCAUGCGUGGGUUUUCUCCGGGCACUCCGGCUUCCUCCCUCAGUCCAAAAAUAUGCUGAGGUUCACUGAUAAUUCUAAAUUGCCCGUAGGUGUGAAUGUGAGUGUGAUUGUUUCUGUAUAUGUAGCCCUGCGACAGACUGGUGACCUGUCCAGGGUGUCCCCUGCCUUCGUCCGAGUCAGCUGGUAUGUGUGUGUAUGUAUGUGUGUGUAUGUAUAUGUGUGUAUAUAUAUAUAUAUAUAUAUAUAUAUAUAUAUAUAUAUAUGUGUGUGUGUGUGUAUGUCAUUGAUUCUUCAGAGUUGGGACAAAGUACAGUCAACAGCUCCUCAGGAUCCUCUGUCUAUAUGCAUGAAUGGCUAGCUUGGUGUUACUGCAUGCUUGGCUAAUCUUGGCCCCGUUCUGCUGCGCGGGCCUUGGGGCUCUGGCUGUGUUGGGGGGGUCGCUCCGGGCUCCUGGCUCCUGGGCUGGGUCUCCGCUUGGUGGCUCCUGCGGGGGGCUGGGUGGACCUCCUUGGGCUGGAGGAGACGGCUCCCUCCUUUUGGUGGAGGUUUUCAUGCAUGCCAGACCCACCACACCGGCACCUACCAAAACUCAAUAGAGUUUGUUCCUCUGGUCGCUGAGUCAGUGGAGGUUGCUGGGUUAGUGCCUGUGGAUCUCGCUCUGCUUUAUCUAUCCUUCUUGUGGCCUCCUGACAUCUUCAUGAUUGAUCCAGUUGGGAUUUUGUCGUAUUAGGUGUUUGUGAAGGGUUUUAGAUUUGUAACUGGUUUUAAGGUGUGAAUUAAAGAGCACAAACAAAUAAAUUGCACCUUUUUUCUUAGAACACUGUCUAUGCCUCAACUUUCUCUCUGUCCUGUGUUUGUUUUAUGUUUCACUUGGGUGUGCACAGCCCUCAAUGGCAUAAUGCAGGAAACAGCUUGAAAUAAACAUGAUAGGUUAAUUUGCCAUGAGGGCAGGUGAUGGUCACAGUCACAAAGAAGAGAAAAAUUGCACAUGAAGCUUAAGCAAUGGCACCAUGGGUGGUUGGUGUCAUUUUUGAGUGGACUUGUAGACCAGGCUGGACUACUGUAAUGCACUCCUCAUUGGGAUUCCUGUCAGGAGCCUCCAGAGACUGCAGUACAUCCAGAACUGUGCUGCCAGGAUCCUGAUGAGGGUGUGCAAAUUCCAUCACAUCACACCAAUCCUCCAUAAUCUCCAUUGGCUUCCAGUAAGGUUCAGGAUUGAAUUUAAGAUUUGUCUCCUGACCUAUCACUGUGUCCAUGGCAGCGUGCCAGUGUACCUUAAAGAACUAAUCAGUCAACACAACCCGACCAGGCACCUCCGCUCCUCCGACAGCCACCAACUCCAGGUUCCAAGGUCCAAACUCCACUCCAUGGGAGAUAGGGCCUUUCAGGUGGCUGCACUGCGACUGUGGAAUGCCCUCCCCAACCACCUGAGGGUGCCACAGUUGCUUGAAGUUUUUAAAAAAACAGCUGAAGACUUUUAUGUUUUUAAAAGUGUUUUCUUAAUGUGCUGUAUUUUUAUUGUUGAUGGUUUUUAUCUGUAGCACUUUGAGAUUUGGUUUUCAAAUGUAAAGUGCAUUAUAAAUUAAACUUAUUAUUAUUAUUAUUAUUAUUAUAAUAAAGGCAGAAAAAGUUUUAGGAUUUUUAAAAGGUCCCAUGAACUUCACAGAACUUCUCUUUCCUCAGUGUGUUGGGGUUAGUUUCCAGGUGAGUAUCCACAUGUAAAAUUGAAAAUAAUCUGAACAUUCUUACUUCUAACGUAAAAAGAACUUAGUGAGAACAGUUCAGGGAGCAUUUUACCUCCUUUGUUCAAAACUCAGAUCUCCUUGAGUUGUUCUUCUAUUGAAGCAGUGUUCAGAUGAGGAUUCAGUCGACUCUUUGGAGGCUUGUUCGGCUGAAUCGUCCUGCAGCUGUUGCUCACCUGGUUGAAAAUAUGCUGCAUGGGUGCUUUCCUGUACAGAUGUCUUUAUCAGUUAAACUUUGAGAAAGUGACAGCAGCAUUAAAAUGGAUGCCAGCCAGAGGUGGUUGAUUUGGGAGAUCCAUGUUGGCAGUGCUCUGCUGUAGACACUAACUUUAAAAAAAAACUUGACUAACCCCAACACCCAAUGUGGUACUACAUGUGGUUAUUAUAGUAAAAAGACAGGCACCGGUAUAUGCAUUAACAUACUUCUAAUAAAUCCUUGAGGGCAGAAGUUUGUAGAGUGCACAGAAGCAGUCUGCGAUUCAUCAGAUCAGGUGAAGGGUGAGCUAGUUAAAGGGUUAGUGAAGUUUUUUAAAGUGCAUUUCAGUGAGGUACUGAUCCGUUAAUGGGGGCAGGACCAGCAGAGAAGCUAUACAACAAUCUGCUGUUGACAAAUUCAGCAACAAAAUGUGUUUUAGCCACCCACAAACAUCAUUAUCAGUCUCAAUAGACACACAUUUUUAGAAUAUUUUGACCUUUAUGACAGAGAACUGAAGCUGUUGUGUUGCUCUCUUCAAAGGCUCUUGCCGUCUUGAUCAGUUGCUUUGUUUGUAUGACUCUGGUGUUUCAACACUUCAGUUCAGAUCUGAAUUAAGAGUCUUUCUUCAUUUGCAGCAAUUUUAUUGUGACUGCAGCAGAAAACUCCAGAAAACAACAGUUACAGCUGACUGACUACAGUGUGUUUACAGUCGCAUGUUUCCAUGGUGACGUGGCAAUGUGUUCAUGUGUCUCCUGGUUUCGGCUCUGAUGUCACCACCCAGGUAAACCAAGCUGGUCGAACAGAAGACGUGUUACGGUGAAUGAGAGAUACA
Molecule: long non-coding RNA, 4634 nt
Organism: Acanthochromis polyacanthus (spiny chromis)
Lineage: Eukaryota; Metazoa; Chordata; Actinopteri; Pomacentridae
Exons: 2
Source: RefSeq, a predicted model, not a curated record